UAUAGUCACACAUGAAUAUCAAAGUAAAUCUUAUCUCAAACUAAGAAAACAUGCAUGCCAAAAAAUUAUUAGUACCAUUGAUUGUUCACACGUCCUUCACUACAUGACCAAAACAACAAGAUACAAAUUAAAUAUAUCAUUUUCUUAAGAAAUUGGUAAGAAGUGAUAGUAAGUUGUAACUGUAAACACAAAACCAGAAUUAUUAAUUGCUAAUAUGAUAUCCACAAAGUGCAAUUAUGAAAUUGUCUCUCUUUUUCAAAAGGUUAUACCACAAAAAAAAAUCAAAUAACAGUGAUAAGUUUUAAUAUGGUAAGUGUUUCUACUUUCCAAAUAAUGUAAUAUAGUUCAUUGAAACUAAAAAAAUGUAAUUGAACUAAGACAACAUCAACCAAAUAGUUUUUUAGAGCAAGAAGCGGCUAACCCACAUUCUUAAACUAUAGUCUUCACUCUCUAUCUUGGGAGUUAUGUCCUGCUUCACCACCUAUUGGUGGCUUCUUUGUUUUUAUGUUACUGUCUUUUCCUUUGUUACUCUGUUUUGUUGAGGUUGUUUAACCUCUGUACUUUCCUUGAGGCUUGCCUCGGCUUGGGUCUUUGGCUCUUGCUUUUGAAUAUGAAAUCCAGCGUUAAAAAAAAAAAAAAACUAAGACAACAUCAACCAAAUAGUUUGAAUUGUGGUAUCAAAACUUGUAGACAGAAAAAACUACGAGAACAAUCUCACAAUCAACCAUUUAUACCCACCAAGAAGCAUUAAACUACAAUAACGUAAAACGGGAGUGAUAUGUUGACAUCGUGGGGUCUCACUCUCUUCUCCCA
RNAcentral lists this long non-coding RNA (813 nucleotides) under Brassica napus (rape). RNAcentral's name for it is "long non-coding RNA (BNAP_LNC004846)". Lineage: Eukaryota; Viridiplantae; Streptophyta; Magnoliopsida; Brassicales; Brassicaceae. The record is from RNAcentral.